This 468-nucleotide ribosomal RNA is filed under the name uncultured bacterium. RNAcentral's name for it is "partial 16S ribosomal RNA". It matches the Rfam family "Bacterial small subunit ribosomal RNA", at positions 28 to 507 of the family's 1533-position model. The record is from RNAcentral.
GACGAACGCUGGCGGCGUGCUUAACACAUGCAAGUCGAACGGAAAGGCCCUGCUUUUGUGGGGUGCUCGAGUGGCGAACGGGUGAGUAACACGUGAGUAACCUGCCCUUGACUUUGGGAUAACUUCAGGAAACUGGGGCUAAUACCGGAUAGGAGCUCCUGCUGCAUGGUGGGGGUUGGAAAGUUUCGGCGGUUGGGGAUGGACUCGCGGCUUAUCAGCUUGUUGGUGGGGUAGUGGCUUACCAAGGCUUUGACGGGUAGCCGGCCUGAGAGGGUGACCGGCCACAGUGGGACUGAGAUACGGCCCAGACUCCUACGGGAGGCAGCAGUGGGGAAUAUUGCACAAUGGGCGGAAGCCUGAUGCAGCAACGCCGCGUGCGGGAUGACGGCCUUCGGGUUGUAAACCGCUUUCGCCUGUGACGAAGCGUGAGUGACGGCAAUGGGUAAAGAAGCACCGGCUAACUACGUG